Molecule: ribosomal RNA, 466 nt
Filed under: Centipeda noxia
Lineage: Bacteria; Bacillati; Bacillota; Negativicutes; Selenomonadales; Selenomonadaceae
Description: bacterial SSU rRNA
Rfam family: Bacterial small subunit ribosomal RNA
Source: RNAcentral
GACGAACGCUGGCGGCGUGCUUAACACAUGCAAGUCGAACGGAGCGAAUGAAAGCUUGCUUUUAUAAGCUUAGUGGCAAACGGGUGAGUAACACGUAGACAACCUGCCGACAGGAUGGGGACAACAUUCCGAAAGGAAUGCUAAUACCGAAUGAAGUGCAGGGGAGGCAUCUCCCCUGCAUGAAAGAUGGCCUCUUUUUAUGCUAUCACCUGUUGAUGGGUCUGCGUCUGAUUAGCUGGUAGGUGAGGUAACGGCUCACCUAGGCGACGAUCAGUAGCCGGUCUGAGAGGAUGAACGGCCACAUUGGGACUGAGACACGGCCCAGACUCCUACGGGAGGCAGCAGUGGGGAAUCUUCCGCAAUGGGCGCAAGCCUGACGGAGCAACGCCGCGUGAGUGAAGAAGGUCUUCGGAUCGUAAAGCUCUGUUGAUGGGGACGAACGUGCCUAAUGCGAAUAGUUUUAGGU